GACGAACGCUGGCGGCGUGCUUAACACAUGCAAGUGGAGCGACGAACCAGGCUUCGGCCUGGGGCAAAGCCGCGAACGGGUGAGUAACACGUGGGUAACCUGCCCUGAUGACCGGGACAACCCGAGGAAACUCGGGCUAAUACCGGAUGUGCUCCCACCACACCAGUGGUGUGAGUAAAGGUAGCUUCGGCCUCCGCAUCGGGAUGGGCCCGCGGCGCAUUAGCUUGUUGGUGGGGUAAAGGCCUACCAAGGCAACGAUGCGUAGCUGGUCUGAGAGGACGAUCAGCCACACUGGGACUGAGACACGGCCCAGACUCCUACGGGAGGCAGCAGUGGGGAAUCUUGCGCAAUGCGCGAAAGCGUGACGCAG
Molecule: ribosomal RNA, 370 nt
Filed under: uncultured bacterium
Lineage: Bacteria
Description: bacterial SSU rRNA
Rfam family: Bacterial small subunit ribosomal RNA
Source: RNAcentral